GUUUGGAUGAAUCAAGAAUUGGGUCAAAUUGUCCGAGGUAUUCCCGCCAUUUCACUCUCUCAUCAAAUCAUUCUAACAAACCACUCCUAAGAAAUCUUAUUUGUAUGUUAUAGAAAAACUGACAACAAAAUAUUUUGGAAAAUAAAAUUAUUUUAUUCUAUUAUGAGACCAACAAUUCUAUUUUCCGUUGCAACGGAUUCAUUCUAUUUCUUCAUCUUGAUGUACUUAUUCAUUCUGGCCUACUUGACACCGGGAUUAGAUACAACCCUAAACUUAAUCAAAAUCGGCUCAUCAGUUGUCUUUAUUGCUUCAAGGUUAUUCAUUUAUUGUUAUUUGUUUGAAAAUAUUAACAUACAA
This is a long non-coding RNA of Rhopalosiphum padi (bird cherry-oat aphid), 357 nucleotides long. RefSeq lists it as uncharacterized. NCBI's taxonomy places the organism in Eukaryota, Metazoa, Arthropoda, Insecta, Hemiptera, Aphididae. The record is from RefSeq and is a predicted model, not a curated record. The transcript is spliced from 3 exons.